RNAcentral lists this long non-coding RNA (1117 nucleotides) under Manihot esculenta (cassava). RNAcentral's name for it is "long non-coding RNA (MESC_LNC000741)". Lineage: Eukaryota; Viridiplantae; Streptophyta; Magnoliopsida; Malpighiales; Euphorbiaceae. The record is from RNAcentral.
UUUCUACUUCUUGCCCCAGCAUUGCUUUCUCAUCCUGUAAUCGAUCAGCCAAGGUUCUCAAGUCUUCUGCAGUAUCCUCCAUCUCUUCAAUUCUUCUCACAGCAGUCUCUUUCUCCAUGAACAGGUUGUCUUUCUCUCUAGUCAUAUCUUCCAAUCUUGAACUUUGUACCAAAAUUGAUGAGGUAAGAGAUUUAUUUUCUUCCUCAGAAUGUGUCAAUUUUUGGCUUAAAUUUGACACUUGUUGCUCUGCAGAUUCUAGUUGCUGCUUAAUACUGGCAACUUCUGCUCUAAAAUUUUCUAGUUGUUGCCCAAGAAUUACCUUUUCUUUCUCAGCAACUUCCAAACUGUGAUUAAGAUCUGCUGCCAUCUGCUCUACAGAUUGCAGUUGUUGCUUCCUGCUGGUAAGUUCCUCUCCAAGGGUUUCUACUUCUUGCCCCAGCAUUGCUUUCUCAUCCUGUAAUCGAUCAGCCAAGGUUCUCAAGUCUUCAGCAGUCUUCUCUAUCUCUUCAAUUCUUCUCACAGCAGUCUCUUUCUCCAUGAGCAGGUUGUCUUUCUCUCUAGUCAUAUCUUCCAAUCUUGAAUUCUGUACCAAAAUUGACGAGGCAAGAGAUGUAUUUUCUUCCUCAGAAAGUGUCAACUUUUGGCUUAAAUCUGACACUUGCAGCUCUGCAUAUUCUAGUUGCUGCUUCAUACUGUUGACUUCUGCUCUAAAACUUUCUAGUUCUUGCCCGAGAACUGCCUUUUCUUUGUCAGCAACUUCCAAAGUGUGAUUAAGUUCGGAUACAAUGUGCUCUGUAGACUCCAGUUGGUGCCUCCUGCUGGUAAGUUCCUCUCUGAGGGUUUCUAUUUCUUGCCCCAGCAUUGUUUUCUCAUCCUGCAAUCGAUCAGCCAAAGUUCUCAAAUCUUCAGUAGUCUUCUCUAUCUCUUCAAUUCUUCUCACAGCAGUCUCUUUCUCCAUGAGCAGGUUGUCUCUCUCUGUAGUCAUAUCUUCCAAUCUUGAAUUCUGUACCAAAAUUGACGAGGCAAGAGAUUUAUUUUCUUCCUCAGAAUGUGUCAAUUUUUGGCUUAAAUCUGACACUUGUAGCACUGCAGAUUCUAGUUGCUGCUUAAUACUGGC